RNAcentral lists this ribosomal RNA (541 nucleotides) under uncultured bacterium. RNAcentral's name for it is "bacterial SSU rRNA". It matches the Rfam family "Bacterial small subunit ribosomal RNA", at positions 778 to 1319 of the family's 1533-position model. The record is from RNAcentral.
AUAGAUACCCCGGUAGUCCAUGCCGUAAACGUUGGGAACUAGAUGUAGGGUCCAUUCCACGGAUUCUGUGUCGCAGCUAACGCAUUAAGUUCCCCGCCUGGGGAGUACGGCCGCAGGGCUAAAACUCAAAGGAAUUGACGGGGGCCCGCACAAGCGGCGGAGCAUGCGGAUUAAUUCGAUGCAACGCGAAGAACCUUACCAAGGCUUGACAUAUACCGGAAACGGCUGGAAACAGUCGCCCCGCAAGGUCGGUAUACAGGUGGUGCAUGGUUGUCGUCAGCUCGUGUCGUGAGAUGUUGGGUUAAGUCCCGCAACGAGCGCAACCCUCGUUCUUUGUUGCCAGCACGUCAUGGUGGGAACUCAAAGGAGACUGCCGGGGUCAACUCGGAGGAAGGUGGGGAUGACGCCAAAUCAUCAUGCCCCUUAUGUCUUGGGCUUCACGCAUGCUACAAUGGCCGGUACAAAGGGCUGCAAUACCGUAAGGUGGAGCGAAUCCCAAAAAGCCGGUCUCAGUUCGGAUUGAGGUCUGCAACUCGACCUC